UAGCUCAGUCGGUAGAGCAGUUGACUUUUAAUCAAUUGGUCACAGGUCCGAGCCGAGCGAAGCGAGACAGCGUUGUGCGAAGUACAACGACCCGCAGGGCGAGGCAAUAGGCCGAGUUAUCCUGUACGAUCCCACCA
This 137-nucleotide transfer RNA is filed under the name Arsenophonus endosymbiont of Aphis craccivora. RNAcentral's name for it is "RtT sRNA". It matches the Rfam family "RtT RNA". Rfam says of the family: This family represents a bacterial cis-regulatory element known as RtT RNA. The record is from RNAcentral. Lineage: Bacteria; Pseudomonadati; Pseudomonadota; Gammaproteobacteria; Enterobacterales; Morganellaceae.